Molecule: non-coding RNA, 788 nt
Organism: Cricetulus griseus (Chinese hamster)
Lineage: Eukaryota; Metazoa; Chordata; Mammalia; Rodentia; Cricetidae
Source: RefSeq, a predicted model, not a curated record
CCUGAACCUUUCAGUUCAGGUUAGCAUGGUUAGCAGACUUAAAUCACGUAGGGGGUUCACCAUUUUGUCAGUUUUCUGGUGGUUGAGUACUGACCUAAUUUUAACUCUUAACUUUAGGUACUUUUACUGGAAAAUUAAAGAUGAAAUGUAAGUAGAGUUAAAGGAUUGUAGAUAAUGGGCAAACAUGGCUUGGUAUGGUUUUUUGCAUAGCAAGUACUCUUGCUAUGUGUUUUGGCCUGCAUGAUGACAAGCAAAUGCUGACUAACAUGAAGCUCUUAAUUAGCUCUAUCUGAUCCGGGCUUGGUUAGGUUUUGGUGGGACAAAUUAUCUUUUUUGACUGGGCUGAAAUUCUGAAUUUUUUUUAGGUGUUCAAGUUGUCUGGACAGCUUUUCAUUUGACAACUGGUUGCAUGUUUGCAUUUGGAUGGCUUGCUUUGGUAGGAGUACUCUACUUACAUACCAGAAGAGGGCAUCGGAUCCCAUGAUGGAGCUACCACAUGGUUACUUGAGAACCCUGGACCACUGGAAGAGCAAUUGACAUUCUAAAUGAAGGCUAUCAGCAUGGUUCCGGUUGAAUGAAGGCACAGACAAGGUUUUCUACAAUGAUCAGAUCCUUCAUUUUGAAUCUCAAGAGCUCCUGUGGCAGAAAUGGACUUGCAAUUCAGUCAUUUUCACCUUACUAUUUAAAAGGUGAGAAUUGGAGAUAGUAACUAGGAGGGCAGCUGGGGAUAAAAAUACUAACCUUAAACCUAUUCCAGAAUAUGUGAUGAUUCACCACAACUUGAACUC